CCCUACGGGGCGCAGCAGGCGCGAAAACUCUACAAUGCAGGCAACUGCGAUAGGGGAACAUCGAGUGAUACUCAUAUUGGGUGUCUGUCCCACCGUCUAAAAAACGGUGGUUAGCAAGGGCCGGGCAAGACCGGUGCCAGCCGCCGCGGUAAUACCGGCGGCUCGAGUGGUGGCCGAUAUUAUUGAGUCUAAAGGGUCCGUAGCCGGCUUUGCAAGUCUUUUGGGAAAUCCAGCGGCUUAACCGUUGGUCGUCCGGGAGAUACUACAUUGCUUGGGACUGGGAGAGGUAGGAGGUACUCAGGGGGUAGGAGUGAAAUCCUGUAAUCC
RNAcentral lists this ribosomal RNA (327 nucleotides) under uncultured methanogenic archaeon. Its description in RNAcentral is "bacterial SSU rRNA". It matches the Rfam family "Archaeal small subunit ribosomal RNA", at positions 321 to 648 of the family's 1478-position model. The record is from RNAcentral. Lineage: Archaea; Methanobacteriati; Methanobacteriota.